Molecule: long non-coding RNA, 1243 nt
Filed under: Homo sapiens (human)
Lineage: Eukaryota; Metazoa; Chordata; Mammalia; Primates; Hominidae
Description: HSALNT0023285
Source: RNAcentral
CUGUGAGUCUUCCGCGAAGACAGCCUGUGGCUCACUCCCGCCCGUUUGGCGUAUUUGGAGACUGAGGCCCGGGGGGCUCCUGCAGCAACUGGAGCUGCGGGGCUGGUUGCCACCUUCCUCCUCCCACACCCGGCAGUCACCGGGAGGCCUCGGGGACUGCGUGAGGACGGGGGUGCGAGGCGCCCCUCGCCGGGGUUGGGGUUCCUGGCUCCCAGGCUGCGCGGGUCCACGUGCCCCGGCCCUGUGGAAACCUGUGGCACUCGCGGGGCCACGGCGGAAGGUCCGAAGGCGGGAGGCUUGCUGUGUCCCCGCACUGGCCUCGGCGCCCCGGCGGCCGCAGUGACGCGCGGGCUCAUACCUGGGCCCGGAGCAGACGCCGGGGAGCUGGCCGCAGAUGAAGCAAAGGAGGAGGUGGCCUGGGGACCCCGGGCCCUGCCCUCCCUCUUGGGGAACAAGCACUUUGGUGCCUCUGCAGACUGCAAUGUUAUCUUGGAUUCCUCCAGUGAUGGGGAGCUCACUACUACACCAGGCAUCCCAGGACAGAGUUCACCUCUCUGGAUAUCCUGCCCCACUCUGUCUCCAACAUGGUUGCUCUGCCCGCUCUCUCUGUUGGGAGACUCUAGGUGGGCUAAAGCUGGAGAAUCACACUGCAAGAUGCCAGGGUGUUCUGCAGGGUGGCGCUGCCUCCACCAGAGUCAGUACUUCCUCCUCACGCUCAGGGCUUAGUCCAAACACUCAACCUCUAAGACCUGUGGCAGGAAGAACUCAUACCCUUAAAGACUUCUCUGGGGGGUGAGGUGGGGAUAGGACCCUGCUGUCCCCUCUGCCUGGCCCUGUUUCCUUCUUCCCCAGACCCCUACCCAAAGCCUACCCUCUGGCUGGUCACACCACAGGACCUGGAGCACGCCACAGGAAUUAUUACGGCUAUGCUGACUGCAUGGGCCCUGGGAGAAGCCCCCACCUCCCAGCUCAGGGUGGCCCUGCCCUGCCUUCUGGGCCUGGGCUGGGGUCUGGGGUCAUUCGGGAAGCCGGUGGCCAGUGGUGAGGGUCCCAGCGGCUUGCCUGCACUACACAGUGGCUUAGGAAAUUACAGUUGAGUUCCGUGAACUCCAGGGAGUUUGCUCACAGUCGUCUGAUUUCUGGUCCUUUUAAAGCAUCACCUGUUUCCCCUUAUAUUCACUCCGGCCUCAGUUUCCCCAUCUCCUGCCAGCCCUCCAAACCUCAGAUGAAAGCCUAGAGCUGC